Molecule: ribosomal RNA, 1081 nt
Filed under: Proteobacteria bacterium JGI 0000113-D06
Lineage: Bacteria; Pseudomonadati; Pseudomonadota
Description: bacterial LSU rRNA
Rfam family: Bacterial large subunit ribosomal RNA
Source: RNAcentral
GAAAGGCCAAUCAAACUCGGAAAUAGCUGGUUCUCCGCGAAAUCUAUUUAGGUAGAGCGUCUGACGAAUACCCCCGGGGGUAGAGCACUGGAUGGGCUAUGGGGACUCACCGUCUUACUGAUCCUAACCAAACUCCGAAUACCGGGGAGUACUAUCAGGCAGACACACGGCGGGUGCUAACGUCCGUCGUGAAAAGGGCAACAACCCUAACCUCCAGCUAAGGUCCCCAAGUCAUGGCUAAGUGGGAAAGGAUGUGAGGAUCCCAAAACAACCAGGAUGUUGGCUUAGAAGCAGCCAUCAUUUAAAGAAAGCGUAACAGCUCACUGGUCUAAAUAAGGGUCUUUGCGCCGAAAAUGUAACGGGGCUGAAGCCAUGCACCGAAGCUGAGGAUGUGUAGCAAUACACGUGGUAGCGGAGCGUUCCGUAAGCCUGUGAAGGGACAGCCGUGAGGCAUCCUGGAGGUAUCGGAAGUGCGAAUGUUGACAUGAGUAACGAUAAAGAGGGUGAGAGACCCUCUCGCCGAAAGACCAAGGGUUCCUGCUUAAAGUUAAUCUGAGCAGGGUUAGCCGGCCCCUAAGACGAGGCGGACACGCGUAGUCGAUGGGAACCACGUUAAUAUUCGUGGGCCUGGUGGUAGUGACGGAUUGCUCAACUUGUAAGGUCUUAUUGGAUUGAUCUUGCAGGGACGCGGUUCCAGGAAAUAGCUCCACCGUAUAGACCGUACCCGAAACCGACACAGGUGGUCAGGUAGAGUAUACCAAGGCGCUUGAGAGAACUAUGUUGAAGGAACUCGGCAAAUUGCACGCGUAACUUCGGAAGAAGCGUGACCCCUUCAUGGGCAACCAUGGUGGGGUGGCACAGACCAGGGGGUAGCGACUGUUUAUCAAAAACACAGGGCUCUGCGAAGUCGCAAGACGACGUAUAGGGUCUGACGCCUGCCCGGUGCUGGAAGGUUAAGAGGAGAGGUGCAAGCUUUGAAUCGAAGCCCCAGUAAACGGCGGCCGUAACUAUAACGGUCCUAAGGUAGCGAAAUUCCUUGUCGGGUAAGUUCCGACCUGCACGAAUGGCGUAACGACUUCCC